UACGGAGGGGGCUAGCGUUGUUCGGAAUUACUGGGCGUAAAGCGCACGUAGGCGGCUUUGUAAGUUAGAGGUGAAAGCCCAGGGCUUAACCCUGGAAUUGCCUUUAAGACUGCAUCGCUAGAAUUGUGGAGAGGUAAGUGGAAUUCCGAGUGUAGAGGUGAAAUUCGUAGAUAUUCGGAAGAACACCAGUGGCGAAGGCGGACUUACUGGA
This 211-nucleotide ribosomal RNA is filed under the name uncultured bacterium. Its description in RNAcentral is "partial 16S ribosomal RNA". It matches the Rfam family "Bacterial small subunit ribosomal RNA", at positions 524 to 733 of the family's 1533-position model. The record is from RNAcentral.